Molecule: small nuclear RNA, 112 nt
Organism: Hemibagrus wyckioides
Lineage: Eukaryota; Metazoa; Chordata; Actinopteri; Siluriformes; Bagridae
Source: RefSeq, a predicted model, not a curated record
GCAGCACUGAAUAUGGCUGCAUGUGUACUAGAAUUUGGAAUGAUACAGAGAGAAUUAGCAUGCCCUUUGCGCAAGGAUGACACAAAAAUCAUGACUAUGGUAAUACAAUAAA